CUAUUUGAAAUGUUUAGUGCCGAAUACAUCCUACCAUCUAUUUUCUCAAUAAAAAAAUUGUAAAAUGAUGAAUAUACCCUUACAUUUAAAUAAAAUAAAAAGAAAAAAAAAUCCUAGUUACAAUAAUGGUCCCAAAAGUUUCAAAAGAUUAUAAAUGAUCCCAUUUUUUUUUUUUAAAUAUCAAAACUAAAAAAAAAAAAAUUACUUCAUCUUCUCCCUCUUUUUCUCCCACCGCAACUAACACCACCACCAUUGUCGCCAUCACCCACCACCAACAAACAUCCAACAACAUGUCAUCGCACCGCCCACGAUGAUGGCCAUGGCCACGGCCACAACCGCCACCACAAUCACCCCAAACUACAGACUAGCCACAAACCAACAACACACAUAUGACUUCUGAAAGCUAUCUACAAAGCCAUAAAAAAUCAACCACAAACCAAAACAAGCCUCCAAUUCCAGAAUGUUUUCAUGCCUCUAUUGCACUUGUAAAAGAAGCUUACUUGUUGAAAACAUCAGAUAACGAAUCAAAAUUGAAAGGGUUCUCCAGGAAGAACUUUAAUUAUGUUGUCUUUUUGCGACGGUGAACCUCAUAGCUGGAGCUCUGGCCAUGGCAUCUCGGAGAAUUGCACAUAUGGCACCUCCAAAUGCAUAAAUGGCCUUGCAACCCCCUGUUGGUGCUCGCAACCAAGCAGCCAUCCGUGGUGGUUGUUGGCAUUGAGUAUUCGCAGCCAUUGAGCAAAAGCGGCCCUACAAUUCUUAUCGAAACUGGCAUUCGUAGCACUACCCCAAAAUUGAAUCAUAAUCGAAACCCUUCUAAUAGGAAUCCCUUAAGAGAUCUACCUACUAGCCUUUGGACCAUGUUUUUCAGAUUUUAGCUACUCUAAAG
Molecule: long non-coding RNA, 886 nt
Filed under: Olea europaea subsp. europaea
Lineage: Eukaryota; Viridiplantae; Streptophyta; Magnoliopsida; Lamiales; Oleaceae
Source: RNAcentral